Molecule: long non-coding RNA, 199 nt
Filed under: Elaeis guineensis (African oil palm)
Lineage: Eukaryota; Viridiplantae; Streptophyta; Magnoliopsida; Arecales; Arecaceae
Description: long non-coding RNA (EGUI_LNC053359)
Source: RNAcentral
AUUUUUCAAUUAGGCUAGGACUUAAUUAGUUAGUUUGUUAUAACUAAAUCCUAAGUUGGAUAGGAUUGAGUUCAAGAAUUAGUUAGAGUUUGAUCAAGAAUCAAGAGUCCUAUUUGGACUAGGACUUAACCAAACUUGUCUAACUAACUUCCCAACCCCAUGUGCCUAUUUAUUCUCCAUGCCCCACUCCUUUCACCAU